AGCGAACGCUGGCGGCAGGCCUAACACAUGCAAGUCGAACGAACUCUUCGGAGUUAGUGGCGGACGGGUGAGUAACACGUGGGAACGUGCCUUUUGGUUCGGAAUAACUCAGGGAAACUUGUGCUAAUACCGAAUGUGCCCUUCGGGGGAAAGAUUUAUCGCCAUUAGAGCGGCCCGCGUCUGAUUAGCUGGUUGGUGAGGUAACGGCUCACCAAGGCGACGAUCAGUAGCUGGUCUGAGAGGAUGACUAGCCACACUGGGACUGAGACACGGCCGAGACUCCUACGGGAGGCAGCAGUGGGGAAUCUUGCGCAAUGGGCGAAAGCCUGACGCAGCCAUGCUGCGUGAAUGAUGAAGGUCUUAGGAUUGUAAAAUUCUUUCACCGGGGACGAUAAUGACGGUACCCGGAGAAGAAGCCCCGGCUAACUUCGUG
Molecule: ribosomal RNA, 433 nt
Filed under: uncultured bacterium
Lineage: Bacteria
Description: partial 16S ribosomal RNA
Rfam family: Bacterial small subunit ribosomal RNA
Source: RNAcentral